RNAcentral lists this ribosomal RNA (269 nucleotides) under uncultured prokaryote. Its description in RNAcentral is "partial 16S ribosomal RNA". It matches the Rfam family "Bacterial small subunit ribosomal RNA", at positions 524 to 792 of the family's 1533-position model. The record is from RNAcentral.
UACGUAGGUGGCGAGCGUUGUCCGGAUUUACUGGGCGUAAAGGGAGCGUAGGCGGACUUUUAAGUGAGAUGUGAAAUACCCAGGCUCAACUUGGGUGCUGCAUUUCAAACUGGAAGUCUAGAGUGCAGGAGGGGAGAAUGGAAUUCCUAGUGUAGCGGUGAAAUGCGUAGAGAUUAGGAAGAACACCAGUGGCGAAGGCGAUUCUCUGGACUGUAACUGACGCUGAGGCUCGAAAGCGUGGGGAGCAAACAGGAUUAGAUACCCCGGUA